CCAGAACAUCAGCUCUGGACCAGCAGAUGCCAGAAGGCAGGCCCACCCCUGCCCUGCCAAGCUGAGCCGCUCACCGCAUCCAUCAGUGUAAACUGCUCUGCUACCAAGUCGGGAGGGAACACCAAGAGGGAAGCCCCGCCCAUGCCUCUGCACGUCUCCCGGCCCCUCUCCUCGCUGGACCAUAAACUCCACGAGGGAUCUGUCCUCCUGCCUGGCAUCCGCAGGUCCCUGGCGCCUCCUCAACUUGUAGCUUGGUGCUGGCAAAGCCCCCAGACCCCAGCCCUCCAGCAGGAACCGCAAGAGGUGUGGGAGCCACGGUUCUGCGCAGCCGGCGCCAGCCCCAGCCCCA
Long non-coding RNA from Rhinopithecus roxellana (golden snub-nosed monkey), 349 nucleotides. RefSeq lists it as uncharacterized. The record is from RefSeq and is a predicted model, not a curated record. Lineage: Eukaryota; Metazoa; Chordata; Mammalia; Primates; Cercopithecidae. The transcript has 3 exons.